Molecule: ribosomal RNA, 322 nt
Filed under: Stappia sp.
Lineage: Bacteria; Pseudomonadati; Pseudomonadota; Alphaproteobacteria; Hyphomicrobiales; Stappiaceae
Description: bacterial SSU rRNA
Rfam family: Bacterial small subunit ribosomal RNA
Source: RNAcentral
CUUUUGGUUCAACCUGAGAGUUUGAUCCUGGCUCAGAACGAACGCUGGCGGCAGGCUUAACACAUGCAAGUCGAACGGUCUCUUCGGAGGCAGUGGCAGACGGGUGAGUAACGCGUGGGAACAUACCUUUCGGUACGGAACAACAGUUGGAAACGACUGCUAAUACCGUAUACGCCCUUCGGGGGAAAGAUUUAUCGCCGAGAGAUUGGCCCGCGUUGGAUUAGCUAGUUGGUGGGGUAAUGGCCUACCAAGGCGACGAUCCAUAGCUGGUCUGAGAGGAUGAUCAGCCACACUGGGACUGAGACACGGCCCAGACUCCUAC